Molecule: non-coding RNA, 3873 nt
Organism: Ictidomys tridecemlineatus (thirteen-lined ground squirrel)
Lineage: Eukaryota; Metazoa; Chordata; Mammalia; Rodentia; Sciuridae
Source: RefSeq, a predicted model, not a curated record
AGCGGCGGCGGCCGGGAACCAUGCAUCAGAAGCUGCUGAAGAGCGCACAUUACAUCGAGCUGGGCAGCUACCAGUACUGGCCGGUCCUGGUGCCCCGCGGUAUUCGCCUCUACACCUUCGAGCAGAUCCCGGUGUCGCUCAAAGACAACCCGUAUAUCACCGACGGCUACCGGGCCUACCUGCCCUCCAGGCUGUGUAUCAAAAGUUUGUUUAUUUUAUCUAAUGAGACGGUAAACAUCUGGAGUCAUUUGCUGGGUUUCUUUCUCUUCUUCACCCUGGGAAUAUAUGAUAUGACGUCUGUGUUACCUUCGGCAAGUGCAUCCAGAGAAGAUUUUGUAAUUUGUUCUAUUUGUCUUUUCUGCUUCCAGGUAAGUCACUUCACACUGUUACUUGUGAAGAGAACUUUCAUCAGGCAGGCUUAUGCAUGUGGCUCACCACUUGCUUUGAAGAGCUCCCAAAAUGGCAAAUGGGUCUGUAUGCUUUGCUCUGUGGGAUAUCAUCUUUUUUCUUGUCAUCGGUCAGAAAAAACCUGUCGAAGAUGGAUGGCAUUAGAUUAUGCAGGAAUUUCUAUUGGAAUACUGGGCUGCUAUGUCUCAGGAGUAUUUUAUGCAUUUUAUUGUAAUAAUUACUGGCGUCAAGUAUACUUGAUCACAGUGCUUGCCAUGAUCCUGGCAGUGUUCUUUGCUCAGAUUCAUCCCAGUUACCUCACACAGCAAUGGCAGAGGCUCCGUUCUAUCAUCUUUUGUUCUGUUUCGGGAUAUGGAGUAAUCCCUACUCUUCACUGGGUUUGGCUCAAUGGAGGAAUUGGAGCUCCUAUUGUACAGGAUUUUGCACCCCGCGUAAUUGUGAUGUAUGUGAUUGCUCUUCUUGCUUUCCUAUUCUACAUCUCCAAAGUUCCAGAGCGGUACUUUCCAGGACAACUAAACUACCUCGGAUCUAGCCACCAAAUAUGGCAUAUCCUUGCAGUAGUGAUGUUAUAUUGGUGGCAUCAGUCAACAGUAUAUGUCAUGCAGUACAGACAUAGCAAGCCUUGUCCUGACUAUGUUUCACAUUUGUGAAGAAUUCAGGAAUGAAGAAUCAGGGAAUAGCUUGUCACAUCACAUGGCAUCCCACCUGGACAGAGUGUACGAUUUGAAGAUUGUGAUUGACUGGCAUAAAGCUGUACAGCUCUCCAUUUGGCAGUUGGUUGAAUCCAAGGAUGUAGAAGGUCAACUGUAUUUUAAGGCUUUUAAUCCUGAUCUAUAGACACAAAAGACGGUCAAAGCAUUUUCAAAGGGCAUCUGAGACCACAAUAUUUUCUAUUAAGUGUGCAAAAAAACAGAGCUCCAAAAUGAUUAGUAAGAGCUUUUGAUUUCCUAUUUGAAUCACUCCUCCAAUUCCUAUGAUGAAUCCUGGCAGACUGAACUCAAUAGGGUAUGUUACCUUAACCUACAGCUUACCUACAGUUCAAAGACACAUUAAACUAUGUCUACCAGCACUGGGAAUAUAGAUUAUUGGUAGAGUCUAGAAUGCCCAAGGUCCUGGAUUCAGUCCCCAAGAAAAAAUAAAAAUAAACACAAACACACAAACACACACAUGUUCUCUGAUAUUCCUCCCUACAAGAAUAAAAUCUAAUUCUGCUCUUUGUUUUUUUCCUAGUCUAAUUACAAUUUCUACUUUUCCAAAUAGCACUUUUCUUUAUUAAUAUUAUAAAUAAUAAAAUCAUGUAACACUAAGUAGAAGUACUAAAAUGUAAAUUAUGAAAUGCAAGUAAUAAUUUAAUAAAUUUCCAAAAAUGAUAUACCUGGAAAUAAGUCCCCAGUAAUAAGAAUGAAAUAAUUUUUCUUAUUAAAAAUAAGAUAGGAAUUAAUGGACUAUAGUAUGCCUGAGGCCCUUGGUUCAAUCUCCAGUACCAAUAAAUAAAUAAAUGGAUAUUGUGCUCUAUAUUCCUUAAGAUACUGAUGAAAGAAAUGUAUCAAUUACAUGACUGUUUUUUUUUAACUUUUGGUGUUAACUAGCAUCAAAAUAUUAAUUAGUCUAGUGAAAUUAAUUGGAAAGUACAAAAGAUAUUAAGCUGAAUUACUACAGUAUUCCCUACUUUAAUCUUAUCUUUUAGUAAUACUGCUCAUGGAAUCAUAGUUAUAAUACAUAUUUUUCCCUAAUUUUUGUUUAAUUACUAAAAUUUUUAAAACUUGGUUUAUCACCAAAAUCAUCUUGCAUACCCAAGGUUGGGAAACAUUGGAUUCAGUAUCUUCAAAUGCAUAUAGGACUUAUUUUAUUCUCUCUCCAAUGGAGCUGUGUACUACUGGAUGGGAACAUGGAGCAGGAAAGGGCUGAUUAUUUAAUAGGUAGAAACAAUUAUAUACUAUAGCCACUAGAGCUUAGGAAUACAGAACUUCCUAUAGGUAGCUACAUUUGUUUGGUGCCUCAGUGUUCCUUCAUCGAUAUUAUUAUACUACUUGAUAUCAGGUUAAUUUUGAGUAUAACAUCUUCUCUAGCAAUUUUAAAAGAGCUCUGUAAGCAGAUGUUCCUGCUUAUCAGUGGAAGGCAACAACUGUUUGUCUCUAAAUAUUAUCUUAGAAUGAUUUUCCCCUUUUCCCCAAAUCUAAAAUUCCUCCUCUUCUACUAUGUUAAUUUAUCUUUGGUAUGAAUAUCAAAUAAUAUUUCAAUAAGUUAAAAUAAACAUCCUCUACAUAUAUAUUAUCUUACAUUUUAUAAUUGCCCUAUUAUAUUAACUAUCAUAUUAACUAAUAUAAUUGCCCUAUUAUAUUAGUUAUCUGUCUCUACAUGGUAAAUUACACAAAACUUAAUAGUUUAAAACAACAACAAACAUUUAUUAUCUUAUACCCUUUCUUCCAGUGAGAAAUGUAGCAGUGAUUUAGCUGAAAGGCUGUUAUGUCUGAGUCUGCAUUGGCUGGUGUUGAAUGAUCUGUUUACAGGAUGGCUCACUAAUCUGACUUUGUACAGGAGGCCUCAGUCCCCUGCCACAAUGAUUCUAAUUAAUACAAUACCUUCGUCAGUAUCUUAAACUAUACAAUAUCAAGCAGAAUAUCCUAUUUUUAAUAUGGAAAAGUAUUCCAUUCUUAUCAUCACUAUGGGGGGACUAAUUAUGCAAAUUUAUUAGAUUACUACUUGUAUUUCAUAGUUUAUAUUUUAUUGAUUCUAAUUAGUUUAGAAUAUCAUAGCAUAUGCUUUAAUUUUACUAUUUACAAUGCAAUUAAUUUAUUCAAGAAAAAAAUGCUUUGUGAGAAAGAAAAACCUAUAACUAGAGUAUGCUAAUGACAAAUAAUGAUUUGUACAUUUAAGCUCUGCUCUCGACUUAAGACAAAUCUGUCCUAUUUCAUAUACUCCAGUUUUGUUUUAGGAAAGCACUUCAUUAAAUUCAUUUUUCCCCUUUCCUUCUCUAUUUCCCCCUAAUCAAUAAUUUAUCACUAUUGCUUUUUCUUUCUCUCUCUCUCUUAUCUCAUACACACACAGAAGUUGGGAGUUGUUCUAUAGCAAACUGUGUACUUUCACACUCUUUUGAGAUACACACAGUACAAUUAUGCUACCAAUGUUACUGCUUCUCAUGCCCAAUUCCCAGUUGAUGCUUGUGGAGACCUUUUCCCAGCCAAUGUUUUAAAUCCUGCAUUCACUAGAAAAAUACUUGCCUAGCAUUAUAAGAUGAAUCCAUUAUGGUUCCAACCUGAGCUGGAAGUGAUGAAGUGUAGGAAACUAAGGCUGGUGAAAACUCUUGAGGGGAGGUAAGAUAUUCAGGUGAUGCCUGCUGUUGGGAUUGCUGAUGUUGAGCUAGCAUCUGCUGCUGCAAGAAAGUCUGCUGAUACUGCUGCAUCUGAAACAAGAAUGAUAUUACAUAAAUCAAUGCUCAAGUCAAUAAAGUACUAUCAGCAUUGA